CCAACCUGCCGUCUACUCUUGGCCAGCCUUCUGAAAGGAAGAUUAAUCCAGGAUGGCAUCAUGAGUUCACAUGUCCGCAUGAUUAAAGGUAUUUUCCGGUAGACGAUGGGGAUGCGUUCCAUUAGAUGGUAGGCGGGGUAACGGCCCACCUAGUCAACGAUGGAUAGGGGUUCUGAGAGGAAGGUCCCCCACAUUGGAACUGAGACACGGUCCAA
This 215-nucleotide ribosomal RNA is filed under the name uncultured bacterium. RNAcentral describes it as "partial 16S ribosomal RNA". It matches the Rfam family "Bacterial small subunit ribosomal RNA", at positions 121 to 334 of the family's 1533-position model. The record is from RNAcentral.